UAUCUCUGUAGAGUCUGCAUAUCAAUAAGCGGAGGAAAAGAAACUAACAAGGAUUCCCUUAGUAACGGCGAGUGAAGCGGGAAGAGCUCAAAUUUGAAAUCUUCAAGGUUCUACCUUGACGAAUUGUAGUUUAAAGAAGUGUUUUCUGUUAGAUGAGUAGCAAAAGUUCCUUGGAAUGGGACAUCAUAGAGGGUGAGAAUCCCGUAUUUGGUUAUUCAUUCUAGCUUUGUGAUACACUUUCAAAGAGUCGGAUUGUUUGGGAAUGCAGUCCAAAAUGGGUGGUAAAUUUCAUCUAAAGCUAAAUAUUGGCGAGAGACCGAUAGCGAACAAGUACCGUGAGGGAAAGAUGAAAAGAACUUUGAAAAGAGAGUUAAACAGUACGUGAAAUUGUCAAAAGGGAAGCGUUUGACACCAGUGUUGUUUUUCCGAAAAUCAAUUACGAAUGGCUUGAUUUUGUGUUGUAUUGACCUUAUCAGCUUUCUUCGCUUUUUUCGAGUCUUUCUUAAUGCACUUUUCGGUUAACAAGUCAACAUCAAUUUCUUUUGUUGUAAAAGAGUAUUCGGAAGGUGGCUUUCUUUUCGGAGAAAGUGUUUAUAGCCCUAUACUUCUACAAUCGGAGAGAUUGAGGUCUGCAGCGUAGAUCCUUCGGGGUUAGAUACAUUUGUGCUAAGUUGUAGCUUUUCAUAGACAACUUGUUGACUAUGUUUAGUCAUGCGGCUUACUCGCUUAUGCUAUUUUACCUACGCUUAGGAUGUUGACUGAUAUGUAGUCGUA
Molecule: ribosomal RNA, 774 nt
Filed under: uncultured Neocallimastigales
Lineage: Eukaryota; Fungi; Neocallimastigomycota; Neocallimastigomycetes; Neocallimastigales
Description: partial large subunit ribosomal RNA
Rfam family: Eukaryotic large subunit ribosomal RNA
Source: RNAcentral